GACGAACGCUGGCGGCGUGCCUAAUACAUGCAAGUCGAGCGAAUCUUUUGGGAGCUUGCUCCCUUAAGAUUAGCGGCGGACGGGUGAGUAACACGUGGGUAACCUGCCUGUAAGACUGGGAUAACUUCGGGAAACCGGAGCUAAUACCGGAUAGGUUCUUUUCUCGCAUGAGGGAAGAUGGAAAGAUGGUUCUGCUAUCACUUACAGAUGGACCCGCGGCGCAUUAGCUAGUUGGUGAGGUAACGGCUCACCAAGGCGACGAUGCGUAGCCGACCUGAGAGGGUGAUCGGCCACACUGGGACUGAGACACGGCCCAGACUCCUACGGGAGGCAGCAGUAGGGAAUCUUCCGCAAUGGACGAAAGUCUGACGGAGCAACGCCGCGUGAGCGAAGAAGGCCUUCGGGUCGUAAAGCUCUGUUGUUAGGGAAGAACAAGUACGAGAGUAACUGCUCGUACCUUGACGGUACCUAACCAGAGAGCCACGGCUAACUACGUGCCAGCCGCCGCAGUAA
RNAcentral lists this ribosomal RNA (513 nucleotides) under uncultured bacterium. RNAcentral's name for it is "partial 16S ribosomal RNA". It matches the Rfam family "Bacterial small subunit ribosomal RNA", at positions 28 to 523 of the family's 1533-position model. The record is from RNAcentral.